Molecule: long non-coding RNA, 1354 nt
Organism: Centruroides sculpturatus (bark scorpion)
Lineage: Eukaryota; Metazoa; Arthropoda; Arachnida; Scorpiones; Buthidae
Exons: 3
Source: RefSeq, a predicted model, not a curated record
CAAUAAUAAAUAAAUUUUGUUUCUCGUUAAAAGAUAAUUAUAAAUCUAUAGGUUUUAAUUAAGUCUCCCCGGAAAUAGGCAGCGUUUCUUAAACUAAGAGGUCGCAAGCACUUGAGGGGUAGAUUAAAAAUUUUAGACGGUCGCAAAACUGGAAAAACUAAGGUUUAUACCUAUGAAAAAUUCUCCCGUCAAGCAUGAGAGAAUAUUUUUAUGAGAAAGUAGAUUGAAGAAUUGAGAAGAGCUUUAAAGUCGAGCUCGACGUUGUGAUGCUAUUUCUGCAGCCCUUGAUAAAGCCAUUCUUACUCGAUGUUGCUAAAGUCAGACUUCAUGGCCUUCAGAAGACUCAAUUGUUCAUAUUCUUUUCGAUCUAUCAAUAGAAGUUACCUAACCAAUUUUACUUUUACACUUUCCCCUAGGCAUUUUUUUCGACAAAAUAGCGAGUCAUCUUAAUUUAGUCCAAAGAUGAAUUGUAUAUACUGUACAUUAAUUAGACGAGCGAUAACGGGCUCGUUAGAUCCGAAAAAUUCCUGGGAAUUUUUCAACCCUGUCCAGAUUUGAUACCUGGCCCCCCCAGAGUGAUAGGCAGCCGCUUUGACCGCUCGGCCAUUCAGCCGUAGUUUAAGAUAUUCAGACAUAGGGAAACCUAGUUAAUACUGUACGUAUAUGGAUAAGUCUAUAGGACGUAAGUGUGACGAAUCAAGAUGACUGUACGAUAAUGUUCUUUCGUAAAUUUGGCAGCCUUGCCCCCAACAGUUCUACGGAACCAUUAUGUUCUGUCGGAAUUACUUAGUCUGUUGGGCUAGACGGUUCCUUGACGGUUAUAUAUAAUAGAAUGUUUGUGUCUCUCUGUUCUAAGCUUUUUCGUCGAACCAAAUUUUUCAUACUACAGUUAUUUUCUGGGACUGAAGAAAAUAUAUUCUACCAUGAAACUUAGCUACGUCACGCUCUUCUGAUUCGAUCUGCUUGAAAUUCUUGAUGAACAUAACAAUCGUAGGCUAAAAUAUCUAAGCUUUCAACAUGGUUUUCAUUUAACGUUCAGUUUUCUUACAUUUCGGCCGGAAAAUGCCGGUCAUAUCUUCUAGUUGAAGCGAGCGUUAGCGAAGCCUCUUUAUGCAGCAUACAGAAUUGUGUUCCUUCUUGAAAUCUGUUCGAUCGAUUUUGAUUAAACUUUGCCAUUUCCCAUUAAUUAAUUGUGAUGAAGAACCCAAAAAUAUAAUGAGUUAAUUUAAAUGUAAAAAAUAAAAGUCCAUGACUUCAUUUUCGAAAUACAGUGGUAUUAAAGUGACAAUGCCUGUGCUCUCUGAUGAGACUGAGCGCACCUAACAUAAUUUAGGGGUAGGGGUCAAAAAUAAAA